AGAAAACUACGAGCGAAAAGCUUAAAACUCAAAGGACUUGGCGGUGCUCCACACCGACUUAGAGGAGCCUGUCCUAUAAUCGAUACCCCACGCUAAACCUCACCAAUCUUCGCCCAAUCAGCCUAUAUACCGCCGUCGUCAACCUACCUCGUGAGAGAAAAGUAGUAAGUUCAAGAGUUCAAUAACUAAAACGUCAGGUCAAGGUGUAGCUUAUAGAAUGGUAGAGAUGGG
RNAcentral lists this ribosomal RNA (231 nucleotides) under Sceloporus scalaris (bunch grass lizard). RNAcentral's name for it is "partial 12S ribosomal RNA". It matches the Rfam family "Bacterial small subunit ribosomal RNA", at positions 875 to 1224 of the family's 1533-position model. Lineage: Eukaryota; Metazoa; Chordata; Lepidosauria; Squamata; Phrynosomatidae. The record is from RNAcentral.